Molecule: long non-coding RNA, 832 nt
Filed under: Nicotiana tabacum (common tobacco)
Lineage: Eukaryota; Viridiplantae; Streptophyta; Magnoliopsida; Solanales; Solanaceae
Description: long non-coding RNA (NTAB_LNC001999)
Source: RNAcentral
CAGGCUUCUCUGAGCAAAGAAGCUUCAGCGGAUGAAUUACCACCAGGCUGGGGAAAGGAAAUACUUAUCCAGAACAAAGAACUGAGCGGAGAAGCUUCAGCGGAUGAAUUACCACCAGGCUUUACCUGGAAUAAAGGUCCGACAUUAGGAACUGGCAAAUCCGAUCAGGCUUCUCUGACCAGAGAAGCUUCAGCAGAUGACUUACCACCAGGCUUCACCUGGAAUAAAGGUCCAAGAGUAGGAACUAACAAUUCUGAUCAGGCUUCUCUGAGCAGAGAAGCUUCAGCGGAUGAAUUACCACCAGGCUUUACCUGGAAUAAUGGUCCGACAGUAAGAACUGGAAAUUCUGAUCAGGCUUCUCUGAUCAGAGAAGCUUCAGCGGAUGAAUUACCACCAGGAUUUACCUGGAAUAAAGGUCCGACAGGAAGAACUGGCAAUUCUGAUCAGGCUUCUCUGAGCAGAGAGGCUUCAGCGAAUGAAUUACCACCAGGCUUUACCCGGAAUAAAGGUCCGACAGGAAGAACUGGCAAUUCUGAUCAGGCUUCUCUGAGCAGAGAGGCUUCAGCGGAUGAAUUACCACCAGGCUUUACCUGGAACAACUGUCCGACAGUUGAAACUGGCAAUUCUGAUCAGGCUUUUCUGAGCAGAGAAGCUUCAGCGGAUGAAUUACCCCCAGGCUGGGAAAAGGAAAUACUUGCCCAGAAGAAAGAUCCUACUGUAGGAACUGGCAAUUCUUAUCAGUCUUUUCUGAGAAGAGAAGCUUCAGUCGAUGAAUUACCACCAGGCUGGAAAAAAGAAAUCAGAAUUAGGCAAAACGCACGUGGGAAAACGC